ACAGCAGUAGCCGCGGUAAUACGAAGGGUGCAAGCGUUACUCGGAAUUACUGGGCGUAAAGCGUGCGUAGGUGGUGGUUUAAGUCCGUUGUGAAAGCCCUGGGCUCAACCUGGGAAUUGCAGUGGAUACUGGGUCACUAGAGUGUGGUAGAGGAUAGUGGAAUUUCCGGUGUAGCAGUGAAAUGCGUAGAGAUCGGAAGGAACAUCUGUGGCGAAGGCGACUAUCUGGGCCAACACUGACACUGAGGCACGAAAGCGUGGGGAGCAAACAGGAUUAGAGACCCCCGUAGUCCCUGUCUCUUAUAC
This 305-nucleotide ribosomal RNA is filed under the name uncultured bacterium. RNAcentral's name for it is "partial 16S ribosomal RNA". It matches the Rfam family "Bacterial small subunit ribosomal RNA", at positions 508 to 807 of the family's 1533-position model. The record is from RNAcentral.